AACGGGUGAGUAAUACAUCGGAACGUACCUUAUCGUGGGGGAUAACGCAGCGAAAGCUGUGCUAAUACCGCAUACGCCCUGAGGGGGAAAGCGGGGGAUCGAAAGACCUCGCGCGAUUAGAGCGGCCGAUGCUUGAUUAGCUUGUUGGUGGGGUAAAAGCCCACCAAGGCGACGAUCAAUAGCUGGUCUGAGAGGACGAUCAGCCACACUGGGACUGAGACACGGCCCAGACUCCUACGGGAGGCAGCAGUGGGGAAUUUUGGACAAUGGGGGAAACCCUGAUCCAGCAAUGCCGCGUGAGUGAAGAAGGCCUUCGGGUUGUAAAGCUCUUUUGUCAGGGAAGAAACACCGGCUCUAACACAGUCCGGGAAUGACGGUACCUGAAGAAUAAGCACCGGCUAACUACGUGCCAGCAGCCGCGGUAAUACGUAGGGUGCGAGCGUUAAUCGGAAUUACUGGGCGUAAAGCGUGCGCAGGCGGUUAUACAAGACAGGCGUGAAAUCCCCGGGCUCAACCUGGGAAUGGCGCCUGUGACUGUAUAGCUAGAGUGUGUCAGAGGGGGGUAGAAUUCCACGUGUAGCAGUGAAAUGCGUAGAUAUGUGGAGGAAUACCAAUGGCGAAGGCAGCCCCCUGGGAUAACACUGACGCUCAUGCACGAAAGCGUGGGGAGCAAAACAGGAUUAGAUACCCUGGUAGUCCAC
RNAcentral lists this ribosomal RNA (701 nucleotides) under uncultured bacterium. RNAcentral describes it as "bacterial SSU rRNA". It matches the Rfam family "Bacterial small subunit ribosomal RNA", at positions 101 to 798 of the family's 1533-position model. The record is from RNAcentral.